RNAcentral lists this ribosomal RNA (420 nucleotides) under uncultured bacterium. Its description in RNAcentral is "bacterial SSU rRNA". It matches the Rfam family "Bacterial small subunit ribosomal RNA", at positions 356 to 773 of the family's 1533-position model. The record is from RNAcentral.
GAGGAAUAUUGGUCAAUGGGCGAGAGCCUGAACCAGCCAUCCCGCGUGCAGGAAGACGGCCCUAUGGGUUGUAAACUGCUUUUUUAUGGGAAGAAAAAGCUCUACGUGUAGGGCACUGACGGUACCAUAUGAAUAAGCAUCGGCUAACUCCGUGCCAGCAGCCGCGGUAAUACGGAGGAUGCGAGCGUUAUCCGGAUUUAUUAGGUUUAAAGGGUGUGUAGGCGGGUUAUUAAGUCAGUGGUGAAAUCUCAGAGCUUAACUCUGAAACUGCCAUUGAUACUGGUAAUCUUGAGUACAGUUGAAGUAGGCGGAAUGUGUAAUGUAGCGGUGAAAUGCUUAGAUAUUACACAGAACACCGAUUGCGAAGGCAGCUUACUAAGCUGUUACUGACGCUGAUGCACGAAAGCGUGGGGAGCGAAC